UACGUAGGGGGCAAGCGUUGUCCGGAAUCAUUGGGCGUAAAGCGCGUGUAGGCGGCUCGGAAAGUCUGGUGUGAAAUCUCCGUGCUCAACACGGAGCGGCCACCUGAUACUGCUGUGACUCGAGUCCGGUAGGGGAGUGUGGAAUUCCCGGUGUAGCGGUGAAAUGCGCAGAUAUCGGGAGGAACACCAGUAGCGAAGGCGGCACUCUGGGCCGUGACUGACGCUGAGGAGCGAAAGCGUGGGUAGCAAACAGG
RNAcentral lists this ribosomal RNA (254 nucleotides) under uncultured bacterium. Its description in RNAcentral is "partial 16S ribosomal RNA". It matches the Rfam family "Bacterial small subunit ribosomal RNA", at positions 524 to 776 of the family's 1533-position model. The record is from RNAcentral.